RNAcentral lists this ribosomal RNA (253 nucleotides) under uncultured bacterium. Its description in RNAcentral is "partial 16S ribosomal RNA". It matches the Rfam family "Bacterial small subunit ribosomal RNA", at positions 524 to 776 of the family's 1533-position model. The record is from RNAcentral.
UACGGAGGGGGCAAGCGUUAAUCGGAAUUACUGGGCGUAAAGCGCACGCAGGCGGUCUGUUAAGUCAGAUGUGAAAUCCCCGGGCUUAACCUGGGAACUGCAUUUGAAACUGGCAGGCUUGAGUCUUGUAGAGGGGGGUAGAAUUCCAGGUGUAGCGGUGAAAUGCGUAGAGAUCUGGAGGAAGACCGGUGGCGAAGGCGGCCCCCUGGACAAAGACUGACGCUCAGGUGCGAAAGCGUGGGGAGCAAACAGG